AUUCCCGAAUAUGCCAGAAAUACAGAAAUGCCUCCGAGAAGUCUUGUGAGGCCUCUGUGGCCUCGAAAUUGCCAGAAUGGUUCACCCCGCAGUGCCCUGGACAAGUAGCUGAAAAGUUAUUUGCAAGGCUGAAUUAAACCCAGUGCAGCCAUUCUUCAGGGGAGCCAUCCAGCUACAUUCUCAGACUCAAGGCAGAUUGAGUCACCUUCUUCCGCUGUGUUAAUCUGUACUGUGAUUUUAAAAGAGACUCUCCUCUUCAGUCGGUGGACGGACAUCUCCUGCUUUGCAGGAAGACACAGUCCCAUUGGCCUCAUUAGCCAAGGCUUGGGAUUCAAGUAUGUAGAUGAGCACACGUAUGGCUGUGCUGGACCUUUGCCUCCUUUCCCUUCUCUUCUCGUUGCCUGGGAGGCUGGCCUUCAGUGGACCACACCUGCAGCAGAUCUUCCGUGCCCACCAAUUCCAGAAGCAGUCUUGUUGGAUUAAGGGGCGUGAAUAGUUGAGUUCUUGAUCCACGUGUCAAACUGUGGAGCUUCAUUUUGAGCUGGCUGCCAUGUUGUAAGGAAGCCUCCACACACACCCUCCAGGGCAACUUCCAGCCAACAGCUAGUAAUGACCAUCUGAAGCUCUCAGUCCAAUGUCCCGUGAGGAGCAGAAUCCUGCUGCAACCACGGAGUGAGCUUGGAAAUGGAUUUCUUCCCAGUCGAGCCUUCAGAUGACUGCAACCCCCUCAGCACCUUGAUUGCACCUGUGAGACAUCUUGAGCCAGAGGACUCAGAAAAAUUAAUGACCUUGGCCCUACUUGCCCAGCUUCUCAUGCCAACCCCGGCAUUAUAGCGAAGUCCCACCCAGCCAAAGCUGAGAGGGAGGAUGGAGGAAGGGACAGAGAAAGAGAGAGGAG
Non-coding RNA from Delphinapterus leucas (beluga whale), 898 nucleotides. The record is from RefSeq and is a predicted model, not a curated record. Lineage: Eukaryota; Metazoa; Chordata; Mammalia; Artiodactyla; Monodontidae.